Molecule: long non-coding RNA, 324 nt
Organism: Melanotaenia boesemani (Boeseman's rainbowfish)
Lineage: Eukaryota; Metazoa; Chordata; Actinopteri; Atheriniformes; Melanotaeniidae
Exons: 3
Source: RefSeq, a predicted model, not a curated record
ACUUCCCAUCUCUGUGUACAGCCCCCAUUGGACCGUCCCUGAAAGCUACCCCGCCCUCUGGGAGGGCCAGAGUAGGUUGGAUAAUAGGACUGAUGCAUAGCUGGGGGAGGGGCCUGUGGAGCUACAGUCACCGGGGCCUGAAGUGGAGGGGUAGGGGGCGUGGCUACCAUCUGUUUUUUAGCUUCUUUGGUCUUUUUGUCCUUAUUAACUUCCUCUCUAAGUUUAGCAAGCUGUAGUUUAAGCACAGUGACUUCUAUGUCUUCUUUCUGAUGUUGCUGGUCCUUCUGCUUUUUGUCAUACUGAUUAAGAUGAUGCUUAGCAAAC